RNAcentral lists this ribosomal RNA (620 nucleotides) under Williopsis suaveolens. RNAcentral's name for it is "LSU rRNA". It matches the Rfam family "Eukaryotic large subunit ribosomal RNA", at positions 36 to 668 of the family's 3401-position model. The record is from RNAcentral. Lineage: Eukaryota; Fungi; Ascomycota; Saccharomycetes; Phaffomycetales; Wickerhamomycetaceae.
UUGCCAUUUCAUAAGCGGAGGAAAAGAAACCAACAGGGAUUGCCUCAGUAACGGCGAGUGAAGCGGCAAAAGCUCAAAUUUGAAAUCUGGUACCUUUGGUGCCCGAGUUGUAAUUUGAAGAUAGUUUUCUGGUGCUGGCCCUUGUCUAUGUUCCUUGGAACAGGACGUCACAGAGGGUGAGAAUCCCGUCUGGCGGGGUGUCCAGUGCUUUGUAGAUUUCUAUCGACGAGUCGAGUUGUUUGGGAAUGCAGCUCUAAGUGGGUGGUAAAUUCCAUCUAAAGCUAAAUAUUGGCGAGAGACCGAUAGCGAACAAGUACAGUGAUGGAAAGAUGAAAAGAACUUUGAAAAGAGAGUGAAAAAGUACGUGAAAUUGUUGAAAGGGAAGGGUAUUAGAUCAGACUUGGUGUUUUGUGAUUAUCUUCCCUUCUUGGGUUGUGCACUCGCAUUUCACUGGGCCAGCAUCGGUUCGGGUGGUAAGAUAAUGACAUUGGAACGUGGCACUGCCUUCGGGUGGUGUGUUAUAGCCCUUGUUGAUGUUGCCUAUCUGGACCGAGGACUGCGGCUUUUGCCUAGGAUGCUGGCGUAAUGAUCUAACACCGCCCGUCUUGAAACACGGACCA